This 834-nucleotide ribosomal RNA is filed under the name Muscodor albus. Its description in RNAcentral is "Induratia alba partial 28S large subunit ribosomal RNA". It matches the Rfam family "Eukaryotic large subunit ribosomal RNA", at positions 77 to 938 of the family's 3401-position model. Lineage: Eukaryota; Fungi; Ascomycota; Sordariomycetes; Xylariales. The record is from RNAcentral.
GCCCUAGUAACGGCGAGUGAAGCGGCAACAGCUCAAAUUUGAAAUCUGGCUUUCGGGCCCGAGUUGUAAUUUGUAGAGGAUGAUUUUGGCGCGGUGCCUUCCGAGUUCCCUGGAACGGGACGCCUUAGAGGGUGAGAGCCCCGUACGGUUGGACACCAAGCCUCUGUAAAUCUCCUUCGACGAGUCGAGUAGUUUGGGAAUGCUGCUCUAAAUGGGAGGUAAAUUCCUUCUAAAGCUAAAUACCGGCCAGAGACCGAUAGCGCACAAGUAGAGUGAUCGAAAGAUGAAAAGCACUUUGAAAAGAGGGUUAAAUAGCACGUGAAAUUGUUGAAAGGGAAGCAUUUACUACCAGACCUUCUCCUGGCGGAUCAUGCGGUGUUCUCACCGCUGCACUUCGCCUGGUUUAGGCCAGCAUCGGUUUUCGUAGGGGGAUAAAAGCUUUAGGAACGUAGCUCCCUCGGGAGUGUUAUAGCCUUUUGCAUAAUACCCUUACGGGGACCGAGGACCGCGCUUUUGCAAGGAUGCUGGCAUAAUGGUAGUCAAUGACCCGUCUUGAAACACGGACCAAGGAGUCGAACAUUUGUGCGAGUGUUUGGGUGUUAAACCCUCACGCGUAAUGAAAGUGAACGUAGGUGAGAGCCCUUACGGGUGCAUCAUCGACCGAUCUUGAUGUCUUCGGAUGGAUUUGAGUAAGAGCAUAACUGUUCGGACCCGAAAGAUGGUGAACUAUGCGUGGAUAGGGUGAAGCCAGAGGAAACUUUGGUGGAGGCUCGCAGCGGUUCUGACGUGCAAAUCGAUCGUCAAAUCUGCGCAUGGGGGCGAAAGACUUAUCGA